This 1380-nucleotide ribosomal RNA is filed under the name Staphylococcus aureus. Its description in RNAcentral is "bacterial SSU rRNA". It matches the Rfam family "Bacterial small subunit ribosomal RNA", at positions 69 to 1434 of the family's 1533-position model. The record is from RNAcentral. Lineage: Bacteria; Bacillati; Bacillota; Bacilli; Caryophanales; Staphylococcaceae.
GGACGAGAAGCUUGCUUCUCUGAUGUUAGCGGCGGACGGGUGAGUAACACGUGGAUAACCUACCUAUAAGACUGGGAUAACUUCGGGAAACCGGAGCUAAUACCGGAUAAUAUUUUGAACCGCAUGGUUCAAAAGUGAAAGACGGUCUUGCUGUCACUUAUAGAUGGAUCCGCGCUGCAUUAGCUAGUUGGUAAGGUAACGGCUUACCAAGGCAACGAUGCAUAGCCGACCUGAGAGGGUGAUCGGCCACACUGGAACUGAGACACGGUCCAGACUCCUACGGGAGGCAGCAGUAGGGAAUCUUCCGCAAUGGGCGAAAGCCUGACGGAGCAACGCCGCGUGAGUGAUGAAGGUCUUCGGAUCGUAAAACUCUGUUAUUAGGGAAGAACAUAUGUGUAAGUAACUGUGCACAUCUUGACGGUACCUAAUCAGAAAGCCACGGCUAACUACGUGCCAGCAGCCGCGGUAAUACGUAGGUGGCAAGCGUUAUCCGGAAUUAUUGGGCGUAAAGCGCGCGUAGGCGGUUUUUUAAGUCUGAUGUGAAAGCCCACGGCUCAACCGUGGAGGGUCAUUGGAAACUGGAAAACUUGAGUGCAGAAGAGGAAAGUGGAAUUCCAUGUGUAGCGGUGAAAUGCGCAGAGAUAUGGAGGAACACCAGUGGCGAAGGCGACUUCUGGUCUGUAACUGACGCUGAUGUGCGAAAGCGUGGGGAUCAAACAGGAUUAGAUACCCUGGUAGUCCACGCCGUAAACGAUGAGUGCUAAGUGUUAGGGGGUUUCCGCCCCUUAGUGCUGCAGCUAACGCAUUAAGCACUCCGCCUGGGGAGUACGACCGCAAGGUUGAAACUCAAAGGAAUUGACGGGGACCCGCACAAGCGGUGGAGCAUGUGGUUUAAUUCGAAGCAACGCGAAGAACCUUACCAAAUCUUGACAUCCUUUGACAACUCUAGAGAUAGAGCCUUCCCCUUCGGGGGACAAAGUGACAGGUGGUGCAUGGUUGUCGUCAGCUCGUGUCGUGAGAUGUUGGGUUAAGUCCCGCAACGAGCGCAACCCUUAAGCUUAGUUGCCAUCAUUAAGUUGGGCACUCUAAGUUGACUGCCGGUGACAAACCGGAGGAAGGUGGGGAUGACGUCAAAUCAUCAUGCCCCUUAUGAUUUGGGCUACACACGUGCUACAAUGGACAAUACAAAGGGCAGCGAAACCGCGAGGUCAAGCAAAUCCCAUAAAGUUGUUCUCAGUUCGGAUUGUAGUCUGCAACUCGACUACAUGAAGCUGGAAUCGCUAGUAAUCGUAGAUCAGCAUGCUACGGUGAAUACGUUCCCGGGUCUUGUACACACCGCCCGUCACACCACGAGAGUUUGUAACACCCGAAGCCGGUGGA